Molecule: non-coding RNA, 188 nt
Filed under: Neobacillus piezotolerans
Lineage: Bacteria; Bacillati; Bacillota; Bacilli; Caryophanales; Bacillaceae
Description: 6S / SsrS RNA
Rfam family: 6S / SsrS RNA
About the family: E. coli 6S RNA was the first non coding RNA to be sequenced, but its function was unknown until recently.
Source: Rfam by way of RNAcentral
AGAGUCCUGAAGUGUACGUUGCAUCGCCUAAAUGUUUUGACCGAACAUUUUUUCUUCGGGAGUCUGAGUUUCACGGCUGCGCACAUGCCCCAUACCCGGGGACUUGCAAUAGCAGUGAACAGGACACCCACCUGCUUUAUGCGGGCCAAAACGAAGGAAAUUGGCAACGGCACAAGUUUGGGACUCUU